This 391-nucleotide ribosomal RNA is filed under the name uncultured bacterium. RNAcentral's name for it is "bacterial SSU rRNA". It matches the Rfam family "Bacterial small subunit ribosomal RNA", at positions 355 to 763 of the family's 1533-position model. The record is from RNAcentral.
UCGGGAAUUUUGGGCAAUGGGCGAAAGCCUGACCCAGCAACGCCGCGUGAGGGAUGAAGUAUUUCGGUUUGUAAACCUCGAAAGAAUGGGAAGAAUAAAUGACGGUACCAUUUAUAAGCUCCGGCUAACUACGUGCCAGCAGCCGCGGGAAUACGUAGGGAGCAAGCGUUGUUCGGAUUUACUGGGCGUAAAGGGCGCGUAGGCGGCGCGGUAAGUCACUUGUGAAAUCUCUGAGCUUAACUCAGAACGGCCAAGUGAUACUGCUGUGCUAGAGUGCGGAAGAGGCAACCGGAAUUCUUGGUGUAGCGGUGAAAUGCGUAGAUAUCAAGAGGAACACCUGAGGCGAAGGCGGGUUGCUGGGCCGACACUGACGCUGAUGCGCGAAAGCCAG